UAGGGAAUCUUCCACAAUGGGCGAAAGCCUGACGGAGCAACGCCGCGUGUGUGAUGAAGGGUUUCGGCUCGUAAAACACUGUUGUAAGAGAAGAAUGACAUUGAGAGUAACUGUUCAAUGUGUGACGGUAUCUUACCAGAAAGGAACGGCUAAAUACGUGCCAG
This 164-nucleotide ribosomal RNA is filed under the name uncultured bacterium. RNAcentral's name for it is "partial 16S ribosomal RNA". It matches the Rfam family "Bacterial small subunit ribosomal RNA", at positions 355 to 511 of the family's 1533-position model. The record is from RNAcentral.